AAUGCUCCCACGCUUGCCGCCCUCUGCUCUUUUACAGGUCUUGAGUUGUCGCUGGCCUUCCUGAUCACAUCUUCCACCCCCAACCCAUAUUCCCUUUCUCCUCUUCAGGCAUCUUGGCUGGCCAUGGCCCUCAGUCCUCUACCUGGUAGGGGACACAAACUUUCAUUCCGGAAGGGUCUGAGACAUUCAUAGUUCAUCUGGACUGGCUAUUUGCAGUUUUCAACUGACCUCAGUCACAGGACAUGGCAGUACUAAUAACAGACAGGACUUGGGGGAUCUCUUCUUGAACCUCGCUGACCAGAUGUUUAAAAUAUUUAGUGUUGUGUUGAACAUGGGGAGUCGGGCUAAAGGGCACCCAUGAGGCGUAAGCAUAUUGAAGAUGACUGUAAGAGGGGGACAAGAUGCUCACCUCCUGUUAUUAGUCUUGAUGCGUGUGGGACUGGACAAAGCAGAUUUAAAUUGAAGCAAGAUAAACUUGGAUCAGACAAAAAAGGGAGUCUUAAAGAAGAGCAGAUUUAGGUUCUGCAGGGUAUAAUAAAGACAGCUUUCAUUUCCCCCCCAGGAGAAGAUCAACAACAGGAGACAGAGGGACCCCUCUAGAGGCAGGAGGAAAGAUAAAUGGCCACAGGCUGCUGUCAUCUAGGCCAGGGUUCUGGCAGCAAUGAAAACACGUCUGCAGGAGGAGAAAGAAGUGCUUUUGAAUCCAUCUUACUCAUCGUCUGUCUCUUGUCUCUUCAAAGUGAAUGCAGUUGGAAGGAAAGGGACAGGCAAAUCCAGUGCUUUUCAAUUUUGACUGUGCAGCAGAAUCACCGAUGGAUUUUAUUUUUAAAAUAGGGGUACGUAUGUCUCAUCUCACCCAGGGUGAGGUCCAUGGAUCUAAUGUUAUGAAGCCCACAGUGGGUCCCAAAUCCCAGCUGAGCUCCAGGACUAGGAAUGUCACCCAGCCUCCCUGCUGUAGAGCUGCACCAUGGCUUUCGUUCUUCCCGUGGUGGAAACAAAGCUUGCCUAGAGUUUCUGGAUGCAGCAUCUCUCCGAAAACAAGCUGGGGCUCUGCCGCCCUCACUGGAGCACAGCCAGUGCUGUGGAGCCCCCAGAGUGGCCACAGGGAUAGAGGGGACUUAAAACUGAGUAGGGGGCAACAGAGUUGGGGGUCUAUCCACCACAUGUGGACACACAGCAAGUCAGGCAUGUGGGAAGGAGGGAACAGCAGCGUGGAAUGGAAAUGGCAAAUGUUCAUCCAGCCAGGUGUUAUUUUAUUUAUGGCUUCUGGGGAAAUGGGAUGAACA
RNAcentral lists this long non-coding RNA (1286 nucleotides) under Homo sapiens (human). RNAcentral's name for it is "long non-coding RNA NONHSAT177486.1". Lineage: Eukaryota; Metazoa; Chordata; Mammalia; Primates; Hominidae. The record is from RNAcentral.